CCUACGGGAGGCAGCAGUGAGGAAUAUUGGUCAAUGGGCGCGAGCCUGACCCAGCCACGUAGCGUGAAGGAUGACUGCCCUCCGGGUUGUAACCUUCUUUUUUAAAGGCAUAAAGUAUGACACUUCUGCCUGUUUGUGUGUCCUUUAUCAAUGUGCCUCGGCUAACUCCGUGCCAGCAGCCGCGGUAAUAAGGAGGAUGCGAGCGUUAUCCGGAUUUAGUGGGUGUAAAGGGAGUGUAGAUGGGAGGUUAAGUCAGUUGUGAAAGUUUGCGGCUCAACCGUGAAAUUGCAAUUGAUACUGGCAGCCUUGAGUGCAGUUGAGGUAGGCGGAAUUCGGGGUGUAGCGGUGAAAUGCGUAGAUAUCACGAAGAACACCGGUGGCGAAGGCAGCCUGCUAAAC
Molecule: ribosomal RNA, 399 nt
Filed under: uncultured bacterium
Lineage: Bacteria
Description: partial 16S ribosomal RNA
Rfam family: Bacterial small subunit ribosomal RNA
Source: RNAcentral